Molecule: ribosomal RNA, 376 nt
Filed under: uncultured bacterium
Lineage: Bacteria
Description: bacterial SSU rRNA
Rfam family: Bacterial small subunit ribosomal RNA
Source: RNAcentral
CGGUAAUACGGAGGAUCCAGAUGUUAUCCAGAGUCAUUAAGCUCGAGAAGUCCGUGAGCGGUCAGAUAAGUCAGUGGUGAAAGCCCAUCGCUCAACGGUGGAACGGCCAUUGAUACUGUCUGACUUGAAUUAUUAGGAAGCGGUCAGAAUAUGUAUGUGAGCGGUGAAAUGCUUAGAGAUUACAUGGAAUACCAAUUGCGAAGGCAGGUUACUACUAAUUGAUUGACGCUGAUGGACAGGAACGUGGGUAGCGAACGAAGUUAGAUAUCUCGGUAGUCCACGCCGUAAACGAUGGAUACUAGCUGUUAAAGGCAAUCUCUGUGGCUAAGCAGGGAUGAUAAGUAUCCCACCUGAGAGGUACGAACGCAAGUUUGAA